GUUUUCAUGGCGACAGUCUCUGAGACGACAGACUUGGACAUGUGUUGCUGUCACUAUGGUGACAAUGCUCUCUCCCAAAGGCAUGAAACUAGUACAUAAUAAUGCUGCAUGAGUCUGGAUUUCAGACUGAAUAUUGCUUUCCAGGAGUACAGAAAGGCCAGGAAUGAGACUUUAUUUUUUGCAUGUGGAAAAAAAUAAUUAAUAAUUUCCUGUGUCUUUUUCCUUUAAAAUGUUAAACUUUCUGACUCAUUCUGAAUGAUCUAAAUAAAUAUUUAGACAUCCAAGCAGGUCACCAGAUUUUUUACACAAAUCCUAAAAGUGUAAAACACAGAACUCAGUGAUUCAAGCAGAACAUAACUGUUAUUUAUAGAGUGAAAAAAAUACACCAGCAAGUCUAUGAACACAUUGAGGAUUAGAAGUUAAUUUAAAAAAAAAGUCAUCUGUCUUCAGUCCUUUUUAUUUAAAAAAAAAAAAAAAAUCCAUUGCCAUGUCUGAGGGACUGUAUCUUACCAUGCACAAAUGAGAUUUCUAAGGUCCUUUAGAAAAAAGGCUUAUUGAAGCCCACCAGGCUGGAAAAGGUUACAGAACUAUUGCUACACUUUCUACUCCAACAAUAGAAAGUCAGACAGAUAGCGUAAAUUGAGAAAAAUUGAAGAUCAUUGUUACACUGCCCAGGAGUGCUUGAUCAAAAAAAAAAAAGAUCUCUCCAGUAGCAAGAGGGGUCAUAGCCUGGCAGGUAACAAAGAAGCCAAAAAAGGUCGUUUCUAAAGUGUUCACAAAAUUUCAAGCAAAAGUCAAAAUUGAGUGAUUCUGCUUCCUUCCGAUUCUCAGUAUCUACCAGUCAAAUUAAUAGGUUAGUGUUCAUGCUGGACACUAAAGCACAUAAAGCUGUUAGAAUACAAAUAAACUCAUGGGAAUUAUAAUGAGUUUUAUGAGUUUAACAUCCAAAUAAAGUAGAAACAAAAGCAUGUAUUUUAUUUGUUUAAACAACUUGUGUAUCCUGUUUUGCGUCCUAUAUCGUAAUGUAUCACUGGAUGGAAGACCUGGUUCAGCCACCUCUAAUAAACAGUUCCUUGCUGUUGUUAUGUUAUUCUCCUCUUACAUAUCUGAGAUUUCC
Molecule: long non-coding RNA, 1117 nt
Organism: Astatotilapia calliptera (eastern happy)
Lineage: Eukaryota; Metazoa; Chordata; Actinopteri; Cichliformes; Cichlidae
Source: Ensembl